Vitis riparia (riverbank grape) is the source of this 2058-nucleotide long non-coding RNA. RefSeq lists it as uncharacterized. The record is from RefSeq and is a predicted model, not a curated record. Lineage: Eukaryota; Viridiplantae; Streptophyta; Magnoliopsida; Vitales; Vitaceae. The transcript has 5 exons.
GAUAUUUUAUUGAUUAUCAGUAUUUGGACACUGAUUAUUGUUAGUUAAGUCCAACAUUUCUUACUUAAUAUAUUAGUGAUAUCUGUAUAUGUACAUGUUUGAUGUUUGGGCACUUAUCCCAUGCUUUUUAUUAGUAUUUGGUUACUUGGUCCUGAUGGAUAUUGAUGGUUAGACCUUAGUUGGUGGAGGUGAAGGGGCUUCCCCAUGCAGGAUAUUUUAGCAAUAAACCAUUGAUUUUGAAGAUGAGCAUGUUUAAGAAUUAUGACGAUGGUUUUUUGCAUCUGCUUUUUUCAGAAAUGAAAUUUGAGAAACAGUUGAUUGAUUGCUACAUUGUUAGCAAUCUUUAUGUCUUGGUUCUAUUGCUUAGGCUGCUUAGUUCAAAUGCUUAUUUUAAGGUAUGGAAUUGACAAUUUAGGUCAUUUUAUGGUUGAGGAUGCGAUAGAGUGUGAUUUUUGUCCAGUGUUAGAGCAUUCUUUGUUGGAACAGUUUGUUCUUUCAUAAUUUUAACGUUUUACUUUAAUUACUGUUGGUUGUAUUUAUUAUAUCUUGUUUCCAUUGUAUAAUUUAUUCUGUUAUUUCAGUUGAUGUUCAGUUUGUUUCUGUUUUGCUUAUCUGUAUGUUUGUGCUUUUGAUUAGCUUUGUGUAUUAACUGAUAUCUUUGGAUUUGGGCCGUGACAGGAGUAUCAGUGGAUCAUCUUUUUCUUCUUUGUCCAUUUGUGUAGGACUCAGGACCUAUACUUUAGACUUGCUAGGUGUGCUUUGGGUACUUCCUAAAGGAAGCAGAUAUGUUGGUAAUGGCUGAUUGUUGUUUUUGUUGUAAUUCCAGGUGCGAGGCCCUCUGGCAUGUAUCAAUUCUCUUUUACUUUGGUCAAUUUAGUUGGGGAGAAACACCAGAAUCUUUGAGGAUAUAAAGGCUCUUGAAGUUUUUAUGGGGAGAGAUCUGUUACUUUUUCCUUUUAUAGGUUUUGAGAAAUAAGGACAAUAGCAACAGUACUACAAGAAAUGAGAAUAAAAGCAAUAUAUUGGGAAAAGGAGAAGGUUUGGCUAGAUUGCAGGCCAGUCACAUGAACCCAUUAGUCGAUGAGGAGAAAACUAUGGCAUUAAGCAUGCACCUCAAGCUAAGAAUGUCCUUAAGCACUGUGCUUUUCCCUGCUCCCAUCCCACCUCCCAUAAAGAGUAGCACUGGACUUCUAUUGCUGUGAGCGACUGGAACCAUCACAUCCGUACAUUCUGAAUCAUCAUUUGCUGCAAGCCUGAUCACUUUCAUCUCCUCCACCAAGUGGAAUGCAAAGUAGCUGAUGAUGCAUCUCUCGAACUCCUCCACCAGCUUUAUAAACAAAGAGUCUCCAUCCAAUUCGGUGUCAAAGAAUGUAUAGAUAUUCUCCUCACAUCCUUCUGAUUUCCGGGCAUAAUCGGAGGCCAACUUGCAGAGCUGAGGACAUUCUCUUCUGUCUGCAAAUCCUAUUUGCCUUGCUGCAUGCACGAGGGACAGGGAAAUUAAAAAGCUUGAAAGGAGGAUCCAAAUAGGAAUGCAUCAUGGGAGGAAGAGGAAGAGGAAGAUCGAAGAAGAAGAAGGUGGAUCAGAUGGUUAUAUACCUACAUAAUGGGAGAACCUCUCUAGCUUGACCUGCCCAGUAUCUGUUAUCUUCAUAUGUGGAACAAUCUUCAGACACCUCCUAAAACGAAAGUGCAUCAAUGCAGCAAUGAUGAAGCCGAUGACAGAGGCUAUGAGGAUCUGUGUGAAAGUAGACUUGCCCUUGUCAUCUGAAAGGGAAGAAGAAGUUGAUUAUCACAAUCACAUUUACCCCUUGUUUCCAUGCAUGACAUGACAAUACCUAUAUUUAUUUUUACGAUUAGAGAGACAAGAAUGGAUUGUGUUGUUUGAGACUCACCGUUCUGCAUGUCUGAGAAAUUGAAGGAGAGGUAAAAGAGAGAAUUGUGUUUUCUAGUGUUCUGUUGAGAAAAUGAGAAACAGAUUCAUCGGUUUUAUUUGUUUCGGGACACGUAUUCCAGUGAGCGAUGGAAUAGUGGUUUUACCAUCAAUUCUCAAGAUUUUUG